AUUGAACGCUGGCGGUAUGCUUAAUACAUGCAAGUCGAACGGUAACAGGUCCUUCGGGAUGCUGACGAGUGGCGGACGGGUGAGUAAUGCAUGAGAAUCUGCCUAGUAGUGGGGGACAACUUAGGGAAACUUAAGCUAAUACCGCAUACGCCCUACGGGGGAAAGCGGGGGAUCGUAAGACCUCGCGCUAUUAGAUGAGCUCAUGUCCGAUUAGCUUGUUGGUAGGGUAAAAGCCUACCAAGGUGACGAUCGGUAGCUGGUCUGAGAGGACGAUCAGCCACACUGGGACUGAGACACGGCCCAGACUCCUACGGGAGGCAGCAGUAGGGAAUAUUGGACAAUGGGCGAAAGCCUGAUCCAGCAAUACCGCGUGUGUGAAGAAGGCCUGCGGGUUGUAAAGCACUUUCAGUUGGGAGGAAAAGCUUAAUGCUAAUAUCAUUAGGUCU
RNAcentral lists this ribosomal RNA (446 nucleotides) under uncultured Pseudomonadota bacterium. RNAcentral describes it as "bacterial SSU rRNA". It matches the Rfam family "Bacterial small subunit ribosomal RNA", at positions 30 to 470 of the family's 1533-position model. The record is from RNAcentral. Lineage: Bacteria; Pseudomonadati; Pseudomonadota.